Long non-coding RNA from Ruditapes philippinarum (Manila clam), 449 nucleotides. RefSeq lists it as uncharacterized. Lineage: Eukaryota; Metazoa; Mollusca; Bivalvia; Venerida; Veneridae. The transcript is spliced from 2 exons. The record is from RefSeq and is a predicted model, not a curated record.
GAUCAAUAUUUUGCAAUAGUUGCCCGUUUUGAAGCAUUUCACACAAUAAGAUUAACAAUCAUGGACAUAAAUUCAUAUAUGUCUGAAGAGAACAGAUGUACCCUGUAGAUGGUUCGACUGGAGUAAUAAUCAACAGACCAGUAAGAUGAACACUAAAGACGAAGAUUUCAUUACCAGAUGAAAGGAAUUCCACUGGUAACAGUCAUGAACACAAAUUGACAAUUGGUAUUUGAAUCGCCUUUAAUUGUAAUAUCUCUUCAUGGCAGUGGCAAGAAACUAUCAAACAGUUCAAAGAAGAAUUACAGAAAUAUAAGGAAGAAAACAAACAGUGAUAUUGAACGUUUGAUACAAACAAAAUUUCAGAUGUUGACAGUUGUAUAUUUUGUAAUGUUAUACAGGAUUUCCAACAAAAUUUACUAUAUAUUAAUUACAGUUUUCAAUAGGAAAAA